This 364-nucleotide ribosomal RNA is filed under the name uncultured bacterium. Its description in RNAcentral is "bacterial SSU rRNA". It matches the Rfam family "Bacterial small subunit ribosomal RNA", at positions 1004 to 1372 of the family's 1533-position model. The record is from RNAcentral.
AGAUUGGGGGGUGCCCGAAAGGGAACCUGAACACAGGUGCUGCAUGGCUGUCGUCAGCUCGUGUCGUGAGAUGUUGGGUUAAGUCCCGCAACGAGCGCAACCCUUGUCAUUAGUUGCUACGAAAGGGCACUCUAAUGAGACUGCCGGUGACAAACCGGAGGAAGGUGGGGAUGACGUCAAGUCCUCAUGGCCCUUAUGGGUAGGGCUUCACACGUCAUACAAUGGUACAUACAGAGGGCCGCCAACCCGCGAGGGGGAGCUAAUCCCAGAAAGUGUAUCGUAGUCCGGAUCGCAGUCUGCAACUCGACUGCGUGAAGUUGGAAUCGCUAGUAAUCGCGGAUCAGCAUGCCGCGGUGAAUACGUU